This 240-nucleotide unclassified non-coding RNA is filed under the name soil metagenome. Its description in RNAcentral is "partial contains 5.8S ribosomal RNA, internal transcribed spacer 2, and large subunit ribosomal RNA". The record is from RNAcentral.
AACCAUAGAAACCUGCGGAGUACCUGCGGAGGGAUCAUUAUAGUAUAUGAAUCUCCAUUCUAUAAACCCACUCUGCGUAUCUUGUAACUGUUGCUUCCAUGGGACUUGGUUCCGCCACACCGGCUUCACGGCUGGUGAGCGCCCAUGGAAGGAGAAACAAAACUCUUCUUUGAAAUGUAGUCAGUCUGAACAAGUUUUUAUAAACGUUAAAACUUUCAACAACGGAUCUCAGAUCGGAAG